AACAAACGCUGGCGGCGUGCCUAACACAUGCAAGUCGUACGAGAAAAGGUUCUUCGGAACCUGAGUAAAGUGGCGCACGGGUGAGUAACGCGUGGAUAAUCUGCCUUUUAGUUAGGAAUAACUCAUCGAAAGGUGGGCUAAUACCUGAUAAAACUGUUUUACUUUGGUAUGACAGUCAAAGAGAGCCUCUGUAUACAAGCCUUCGCUAAAAGAUGAGUCCGCGUACCAUUAGCUAGUUGGUAGGGUAAUGGCCUACCAAGGCUACGAUGGUUAGCUGGUCUGAGAGGAUGAUCAGCCACACUGGAACUGAGACACGGUCCAGACUCCUACGGGAGGCAG
RNAcentral lists this ribosomal RNA (339 nucleotides) under uncultured Pseudomonadota bacterium. RNAcentral's name for it is "bacterial SSU rRNA". It matches the Rfam family "Bacterial small subunit ribosomal RNA", at positions 29 to 351 of the family's 1533-position model. The record is from RNAcentral. Lineage: Bacteria; Pseudomonadati; Pseudomonadota.